AGUUAAUUAGUUUAAUAAAAAUAUUAAUUUUGUAAAUUAAAGUUUAAUUUUUAAUAUUAAUUAACUU
This 67-nucleotide transfer RNA is filed under the name Pselaphanus sp. QL-2013. Its description in RNAcentral is "tRNA-Thr". Lineage: Eukaryota; Metazoa; Arthropoda; Insecta; Hymenoptera; Braconidae. The record is from RNAcentral.